ACCGACCCAAUGCCCAGCCCUCAUCAUAGGCAUGACUGCCAGGAGGAUGGAACAUACUGACUUCACAAGCAUGGAUGCAUAAUCCAAACCUGGCCAAUGAGACACAAGCCCAAAUCUUUUGUUGGAACAAGUGGACAACAGGGGUUCUCUUUUCGCUGGGAGAAUUUGAGCUGGAUUACUGUACUUAAAACUGAAAGAGUCAUGAGUGACACAAAAGGUCCAAAAUAUCCUUAGAUGGACAGAUAUAAGGCACUUCUUCAGCUUUGCUGGCUUCACGUGUCCACUGAUGAACCAUGAUGUUCCUACAUUUCCCAGGAAGCCGUUCAUACACCUCAAUUUAAAAUUUUAAUCCAGACCGAUUACAUAGUAUUAGCAGCAGAACUC
This is a long non-coding RNA of Neomonachus schauinslandi (Hawaiian monk seal), 384 nucleotides long. RefSeq lists it as uncharacterized. Lineage: Eukaryota; Metazoa; Chordata; Mammalia; Carnivora; Phocidae. The record is from RefSeq and is a predicted model, not a curated record. The transcript is spliced from 3 exons.